RNAcentral lists this ribosomal RNA (380 nucleotides) under uncultured eukaryote. RNAcentral describes it as "partial 18S ribosomal RNA". It matches the Rfam family "Eukaryotic small subunit ribosomal RNA", at positions 592 to 976 of the family's 1831-position model. The record is from RNAcentral.
CAAUAGCGUAUAUUAAAGUUGUUGCAGUUAAAAAGCUCGUAGUUGGAUUUGUGGCGUACGGUGUGUUCCGGGCACUCGUUGUCUGAGUAACCUGCUGUUGCCAUCCUUGGGUGGAACCUGUGUGGCAUUAGGUUGUCGUGCAGGGGAUGCCCAUCAUUUACUGUGAAAAAAUUAGAGUGUUCAAAGCAGGCUUAUGCCGUUGAAUAUAUUAGCAUGGAAUAAUGAGAUAGGACUUUUUUGCUAUUUUGUUGGUUUGCGCAAAGAGGUAAUGAUUAAUAGGGACAGUUGGGGGUAUUCGUAUUCCAUUGUCAGAGGUGAAAUUCUUGGAUUUUUGGAAGACGAACUACUGCGAAAGCAUUUACCAAGGAUGUUUUCAUUAA